RNAcentral lists this ribosomal RNA (849 nucleotides) under uncultured Actinomycetes bacterium. RNAcentral's name for it is "bacterial SSU rRNA". It matches the Rfam family "Bacterial small subunit ribosomal RNA", at positions 58 to 884 of the family's 1533-position model. Lineage: Bacteria; Bacillati; Actinomycetota; Actinomycetes. The record is from RNAcentral.
CAAGUCGAACGCGAAAGCCCUUUCGGGGGUAAGUAGAGUGGCGUCCGGGUGAGUAACACGUGGGUAAUCUGCCUUCGGGUGGGGAAUAACCCAGGGAAACUUGGGCUAAUACCGCAUAAUGCAGCGGCACCUAAUGGUGAUUAGUUGUUAAAGCGGGGGAUCGCAAGACCUCGCGCCUGAAGAGGAGCCUGCGGCAGAUUAGCUAGUUGGUGAGGUAAUGGCUCACCAAGGCUUCGAUCUGUAGCUGGUCUGAGAGGACGGCCAGCCACACUGGCACUGACACACGGGCCAGACUCCUACGGGAGGCAGCAGUGGGGAAUUUUGGGCAAUGGGCGAAAGCCUGACCCAGCAACGCCGCGUGAGGGAGGAAAUCCUUCGGGAUGUAAACCUCACAAGCAAGGGAAGAGAGCUGCGGGCUGAAUGAUCCCGCAGUACGACGGUACCUUGCGUAAGCCACGGCUAACUACGUGCCAGCAGCCGCGGUAAUACGUAGGUGGCAAGCGUUGUUCGGAAUUAUUGGGCGUAAAGGGCGCGUAGGCGGUUUGUUAAGUCGGCUGUGAAAGCCCGGGGCUCAACCCCGGAGGGUCAGCCGAUACUGGCAGACUAGAGUACGGAAGAGGUAGCUGGAAUUCCCGGUGUAGCGGUGAAAUGCGUAGAUAUCGGGAGGAACACCUGAGGCGAAGGCGGGCUACUGGGCCGAUACUGACGCUGAUGCGCGAAAGCCAGGGGAGCGAACGGGAUUAGAUACCCCGGUAGUCCUGGCCCUAAACGAUGGACACUUGGUGUGUCGGGUAUUCCAGUCCCGAUGUGCCGGAGCUAACGCGUUAAGUGUCCCGCCUGGGGAGUACG